GACGAACGCUGGCGGCGUGCUUAACACAUGCAAGUCGAACGGAAAGGCCCUGCUUUUGUGGGGUGCUCGAGUGGCGAAAGGGUGAGUAACAUGUGAGUAACCUGCCCUUGACUUUGGGAUAACUUCAGGAAACUGGGGCUAAUACCGGAUAGGAGCUCCUGCUGCAUGGUGGGGGUUGGAAAGUUUCGGCGGUUGGGGAUGGACUCGCGGCUUAUCAGCUUGUUGGUGGGGUAGUGGCUUACCAAGGCUUUGCCGGGUCGCCGGCCUGAGAGGGUGACCGGCCACAUUGGGACUGAGAUACGGCCCAGACUCCUACGGGAGGCAGCAGUGGGGAAUAUUGCACAAUGGGCGGAAGCCUGAUGCAGCAACGCCGCGUGCGGGAUGACGGCCUUCGGGUUGUAAACCGCUUUCGCCUGUGACGAAGCGUGAGUGACGGUAAUGGGUAAAGAAGCACCGGCUAACUACGUG
RNAcentral lists this ribosomal RNA (468 nucleotides) under uncultured bacterium. Its description in RNAcentral is "partial 16S ribosomal RNA". It matches the Rfam family "Bacterial small subunit ribosomal RNA", at positions 28 to 507 of the family's 1533-position model. The record is from RNAcentral.